RNAcentral lists this ribosomal RNA (410 nucleotides) under uncultured bacterium. RNAcentral describes it as "bacterial SSU rRNA". It matches the Rfam family "Bacterial small subunit ribosomal RNA", at positions 509 to 916 of the family's 1533-position model. The record is from RNAcentral.
CAGCAGCCGCGGUAAUACGUAGGGCGCGAGCGUUGUCCGGAUUUAUUGGGCGUAAAGAGCUCGUAGGCGGCUUGUCGCGUCGGUCGUGAAAACUUGGGGCUUAACCCUGAGCUUGCAGUCGAUACGGGCAGGCUAGAGUUCGGCAGGGGAGACUGGAAUUCCUGGUGUAGCGGUGAAAUGCGCAGAUAUCAGGAGAAACACCGGUGGCGAAGGCGGGUCUCUGGGCCGAUACUGACGCUGAGGAGCGAAAGCGUGGGGAGCAAACAGGAUUAGAUACCCUGGUAGUCCACGCCGUAAACGUUGGGCGCUAGGUGUGGGAUCCCUUCCACGGGUUCCGUGCCGCAGCUAACGCAUUAAGCGCCCCGCCUGGGGAGUACGGCCACAAGGCUAAAACUCAAAGGAAUUGACGG